Molecule: long non-coding RNA, 1191 nt
Organism: Pogoniulus pusillus (Red-fronted tinkerbird)
Lineage: Eukaryota; Metazoa; Chordata; Aves; Piciformes; Lybiidae
Exons: 3
Source: RefSeq, a predicted model, not a curated record
ACUGCCCUAUUUAAUCGGCCCCAGGAAAGGCAGAAGCCCUAAGCUUGCCCAUUUGGGCAGAGGGAUCCUCCUCAUCUCCUCACUGCCCAUCACAGCAGGAGGGAGAUUGCUGGCUGAGGUUAAACCACAAUAAUAUCUUAUGAAUCUGGCCUUCACCCCAAGGAUACAUUGCUGACUGAAGAAGGGUCACAGGUCCUUUGCUACAAAGUGCUUUCUAGACAGCCAUUGCAGACUUUGUGCUGUUGCACAGGCUUGUUCUGUUCCAGGAGCCUUACAUUUGUCAUUGCUGAACACCAUGAGUUUCCUGGCAGUUCAUUAUUCUUUCAGCUUGUCAAAUAGUAGCUUUGCCCUUUGGUAUAUUAAUGGCUAUUCCCAUUUUGAGCCAUUCAUUACCAAUGCAUUCCACUGCAUUGACCAGGUGAAGACACAGAACAGUAUUGAGUCCAGUAUCAUUCACUGAGGAACAUCACUCAUUACUAGCCACUUAGCAGACCUCAAGUGAGUUCUCACUAACUUUGAAAACAAAAGUGCAUACAGUUACUCACUCAUCUUGUAGCCUUCUUAUUCAGUCUAUACUUCCUAAGUUUGACUGCAAUACAUUUUUCAUCCUUCCACAUAUGGAAGCCUGACUUCAGGAGGAAGAAUAGAAAUUGUUUUCUUCCACCUUUAAUUUCUCCUGUUUGUUUCUGUCCUUACUGCAGAUCUCUUGCUGUGAGUGGCCUGCAGCACUUAAAUAAAAGGCAAUAAUUAUCUGCAUCCUACUUGAGGUGACUUGAAAGACCCAUCUGAAAGAAUCCUCUCUUGAGCAUGUAACUCACCUGGUGAUGUGAUGAUUACAUUAGAACUGAGAAGUGCCUCAACAAAGACGAUCGUGAAGAAUCUGCCUGAAGCUCUGCCCACUGAGAUAGCACACCUGGCAGUCACAUGCAUUACAAUGGGACUAGCGUGUGGGCCAGGUGGAGCUAUGGUGAAUGAACCAGGAAGCCCUGAGCUAUACCAGUUUACUGGGAGAAACAUCACUGAGGAUAUCUCAGGCUAGAGGCAUCAGGCCAGAUAAUCUCUCCUAUCUACCCCCCCCAAUGAAGGACUGUGAGGUGGCAAUUAUCAGGCCUGCUCUCUCUUUCCAUUUGCUCCCCCAUUUCCCCUGUUGUGUUUGCUCCAUUUUCUCUAAUAAAUAGUUAUGUCUUGAUA